GUUUCCAGCCUGCUGGCCUGCUCUACAGAUUUCAGAUUGCCAACUCUUAAAAUUCCAAAAUCAUUUAUGCCAAUUCCUUGAAAAAAAAAGGUACCUUACUGCUCUGUUUUAAUGAGGAACCCUGACUGAUAGACUUUGCAAAGGAAUUGGCUCUAUCUUCAACAAAAACUAUGGAGUGGUUCCAGCCUAAGAGAACUCAAACAGAAAAAAACAAAGAAACGGUGGACUUAGCUGUGAAAGGCAGUUGGACUGCAUGCUGUGUAACUCACAUUCCUCUCAAGGCUCAGAGAGCUUGAAUGAAAGAUAAAAGGGCUUCCAAAGACCCAAUUG
This 330-nucleotide long non-coding RNA is filed under the name Homo sapiens (human). RNAcentral describes it as "HSALNT0086575". The record is from RNAcentral. Lineage: Eukaryota; Metazoa; Chordata; Mammalia; Primates; Hominidae.